RNAcentral lists this ribosomal RNA (1143 nucleotides) under uncultured Chitinivibrionia bacterium. RNAcentral describes it as "bacterial SSU rRNA". It matches the Rfam family "Bacterial small subunit ribosomal RNA", at positions 45 to 1216 of the family's 1533-position model. Lineage: Bacteria; Pseudomonadati; Fibrobacterota; Chitinivibrionia. The record is from RNAcentral.
UGCUUAAUACAUGCAAGCCGAGCGGGUAGCAAUACCAGCGGCGCACGGGUGAGUAACACGUAAACAAUCUGCCUUUAAGUUUGGAAUAACCGUCCUAAAGGAUGGCUAAUACCGGAUGUGGUGAAGAAACGGCAUCGUUUUUUCAUUAAAGAUUUAUCGCUUAAAGAUGAGUUUGCGGAACAUUAGUUAGAUGGUGAGGUAGAGGCUUACCAUGGCGAUGAUGUUUAGCCGGCCUGAGAGGGUGAUCGGCCACAAUGGGACUGAGACACGGCCCAUACUCCUACGGGAGGCAGCAGUAAGGAAUAUUGCGCAAUGGAUGAAAGUCUGACGCAGCAACUCCGCGUGAUGGACGAAGGUUUUCGGAUUGUAAACAUCUUUUGUAAGAGAAGAAAAAAUUAAAAUUGACGGUAUCUUACGAAUAAGCUCCGGCUAAAUAUGUGCCAGCAGCCGCGGUAAUACAUAUGGAGCGAGCGUUACUCGGAAUCACUGGGCGUAAAGGGUGCGUAGGCUGUUUAAUAAGUCGUUGUUUUAACUUACGGGCUUAACCUGUUAUGUGAUAGCGAUACUGUUAGACUUGAGUAUUUGAGGGGUAAAUGGAAUUUUCGGUGUAGCGGUGGAAUGCGUAGAUAUCGAAAAGAACACCAAUGGCGAAGGCAGUUUACUGGCAAAAUACUGACGCUGAAGCACGAGAGCGUGGGGAGCAAACAGGAUUAGAUACCCUGGUAGUCCACGCUGUAAACGAUGGACAUUAGUCGUCGGUUCGCAAGAAUCGGUGGCGUAGAUAACUUGAUAAAUGUCCCGCCUGGGUAGUACGACCGCAAGGUUGAAACCCAAAGAAAUUGACGGGGACCCGCACAAGCGGUGGAGCAUGUGCUUUAAUUCGAUGCAACGCGAAGAACCUUACCUGGUCUUGACAUAGUUAUGCCUGGUUUAGAGAUAGACCUUUCAGCAAUGACAUAACAUACAGAUGCUGCAUGGUUGUCGUCAGCUCGUGUCGUGAGAUGUUGGGUUAAGUCCCGCAACGAGCGCAACCCUUGCCGUUAGUUACCAUCAUUCAGUUGGGGACUCUAAUGGGACUGCCUUCGCAAGGAGGAGGAAGGUGGGGAUGACGUCAAAUCAUCAUGGCUCUUGCGACCAGGGCUA